GGAUUGUGGCUCAGCGGUAGAGUGAUCGCCUCACACUUGUGGGACCCUGGGUUCGAUCCUCAGCACCA
RNAcentral lists this transfer RNA (68 nucleotides) under Marmota monax (woodchuck). RNAcentral's name for it is "tRNA.Val". Lineage: Eukaryota; Metazoa; Chordata; Mammalia; Rodentia; Sciuridae. The record is from RNAcentral.